GACGAACGCUGGCGGCGUGCUUAACACAUGCAAGUCGAACGGAAAGGCCCUGCUUUUGUGGGGUGCUCGAGUGGCGAACGGGUGAGUAACACGUGAGUAACCUGCCCUUGACUUUGGGAUAACUUCAGGAAACUGGGGCUAAUACCGGAUAGGAGCUCCUGCUGCAUGGUGGGGGUUGGAAAGUUUCGGCGGUUGGGGAUGGACUCGCGGCUUAUCAGCUUGUGGGUGGGGUAGUGGCUUACCAGGGCUUUGACGGGUAGCCGGCCUGAGAGGGUGACCGGCCACAUUGGGACUGAGAUACGGCCCAGACUCCUACGGGAGGCAGCAGUGGGGAAUAUUGCACAAUGGGCGGAAGCCUGAUGCAGCAACGCCGCGUGCGGGAUGACGGCCUUCGGGUUGUAAACCGCUUUCGCCUGUGACGAAGCGUGAGUGACGGUAAUGGGUAAAGAAGCACCGGCUAACUACGUG
RNAcentral lists this ribosomal RNA (468 nucleotides) under uncultured bacterium. RNAcentral's name for it is "partial 16S ribosomal RNA". It matches the Rfam family "Bacterial small subunit ribosomal RNA", at positions 28 to 507 of the family's 1533-position model. The record is from RNAcentral.